GAUGAACGCUAGCGGCGUGCUUAACACAUGCAAGUCGAGGGGCAGCGCAGUGUAGCAAUACACGGGUGGCGACCGGCGCACGGGUGCGUAACGCGUAUCCAACCUUCCCGAUACUCUUGGAUAGCCUUCCGAAAGGGAGAUUAAUACAAGAUGGUGUUUCACUUUCGCAUGUUAUUGAAACUAAAGAUUUAUCGGUAUCGGAUGGGGAUGCGUGACAUUAGAUAGUAGGCGGGGUAACGGCCCACCUAGUCUACGAUGUCUAGGGGUUCUGAGAGGAAGGUCCCCCACACUGGAACUGAGACACGGUCCAGACUCCUACGGGAGGCAGCAGUGAGGAGUAUUGGUCAAUGGUCGGAAGACUGAACCAGCCAAGUAGCGUGAAGGAUGAAGGUUCUAUGGAUUGUAAACUUCUUUUAUACGGGAAUAAAACCUCCCACGUGUGGGAGCUUGUAUGUACCGUAUGAAUAAGCAUCGGCUAACUCCGUG
RNAcentral lists this ribosomal RNA (486 nucleotides) under uncultured bacterium. Its description in RNAcentral is "bacterial SSU rRNA". It matches the Rfam family "Bacterial small subunit ribosomal RNA", at positions 28 to 507 of the family's 1533-position model. The record is from RNAcentral.